This is a long non-coding RNA of Megalobrama amblycephala (Wuchang bream), 2714 nucleotides long. RefSeq lists it as uncharacterized. NCBI's taxonomy places the organism in Eukaryota, Metazoa, Chordata, Actinopteri, Cypriniformes, Xenocyprididae. The record is from RefSeq and is a predicted model, not a curated record. The transcript has 3 exons.
GAUGGAUGUUUUACAGUGCAGAAACACUGUUUACUCGCUCAUAAAUAACCUCUUCGGACGGAAUUGGCAAGAUAUUUUGACGUGAAAGUUUGAGAUUUCCCAGGCUCGGGGUCUGAUAAGGAUUCCUUGCCUUAGCAAAGUCUCUGAGAACCUGACACCUUGUACUUCUGGAGACUCCAGGUGGUUUGCAGUUCUGGAAAAUGGUGGCAAUGGAGACAAAGUAUUAAGGUCCCAAGUGAUUAUUUUCAAUGAAAGAGACCCAUCUCAGGAGCUCAAUGAAGCAGACAGCAUGUGCCGCCAAUUCAAGCACUCACGACUAAACCACAAGUGUGCCGCCCGUAAAUCCAGUGUUGAUGACUGCCUGUGUAUUUUGCCAAGAGAAAGACUGGUCUCCAAAGGCAAGUCCCACUCCAGCCCCCAACCAGAUGAUACCUAGAACCACAGACCUGUAUAGCGUGUGGAUUAAGGCCUAGGCCUUACAGAUUUUCAAUAUUCAAUUAGUGCAUAUUCAUCAUAGUGGAAACAGCCCUCUGAACAGUCACUGAGGAAGGGGAAACUUGAUAGGAGAGAUAAAUUCAGCUUUCUCAAUGUGGUUAAUGUGGAGAGUCACAUUCUUAAUGCAGAGAGGAAUAUCAUUUGCACACCAAAGUUAUAUUUUGCUUUCUUUUUGGGGAUUAUUGGAAUUGUGGUGGUAUCUGAUGGACCCACUUCUCCAAACACACAUGUUGGGUUUCCAUGUUUUAUGGGGACUUUCCAUAGACAUAAUGAUUUUUAUUCUGUACAAACUGUAUAUUCUAUCUCCUAACCCUACCCGUACUCUUAAACGCAACCCUCACAGAAAACGUUCUGUUUUCAAAAAAAACAUCAUUUAGUAUGAUUCAUAAGCUGUUUUCCUCACAAAAAACCAUCCCCACAAGCUCAAAAAUUGUGGCACAUUUGAUCCCCUUAACGAAGGGUUUACCAGGAUCACACACACCAUGAAGAAAACCGGCAGCAUUUCAAAAGUGAGGGUGCUUUGGGUAAUCUGAUAAUAUUUCUGUAGCUGAUAAUGAAUGCCAACGGGCAUCACAAGACACCACUGACAUUUUGCUGGGCUGGACUGACCUGUAGUUCAAGCAGUCAGCUGUAUGAAUGUGUUCGCCUCGGGGGGCACAAACACACAUGCAUACACCACAAAACACUGGGGAAAAAGCCACAAGAAAUAGGCAGUUUGAAUAAUGGAGAAUCAUCUUCAAAAGACCCAGGCGUCACUGGCUUCACAGACAACCAUGGCCCAAAUCAGUACUUCGCUCUCUAAAGUGAGAGCUGAAUGGAAAAUUCAUUGUAGUAGGUCCGAGAACAGCUUAAAAACAGUUUAGUGAGUCUCGAGUGAAAUUAAAAGAUGAGUUUAAGGCUCUGGGCUUUGAAUGUUGUCCCCAAAUGCACAUCCAUGAAGGUAAAUUUAGAAUAUUACCUCUUUUAGUGAGAGUACAUAAGCUAAGAUGAGAAUUUCACUCACGCACAAAUCAUUAUCCUAUUUCAUAGGUGCUUGACAUCACAAAUUAUUAAGCCGACAAGUAUUAAUGCCUAUAAUUACAAGUGCCUGGUUUUCUGCUUUUAGUUACAGAGGGUAAAAGGCAAUGGAUAUAUUUUACUGUGUGAGUACUGAAAUACAGUUGAUUAAAGUUAAUGACUGAAUGCGCUAUCUCAGUGAGUUCAGCUUUAGCCUUGAGCUGUUAUCAGUGAUGAACAAACCUGAGAAAUCCAGCAUGAGAUACUCCUCAAAAUAAUGUCCAGAAGAGCAGAGACACAAGGCCAGUGUGUAGCUCCACAGGAACCUUAUUUUUAUCAAAAAGAAAGAAAGAAAAAAAGGAAUCUGUAAUCACACAAGAUUACAAUCAAGCAAACAAAAUGUGAACACUUAGCUGGGCUUUUUAUUAACACUGUCAAAAAUAUCCUGUUAAAUUUUCUGUAAAAAACAAACAAACAGCAACUGUGGUUUCCAGACAUUCACUAUGAAAAAAUAUGGUGACAAUGUUGCAUGUAUGACAGGUAUGGCAUAUUAGUAACUGUAUGUUUUGCAAACUUGUUAUAACCAUAUAUUUCAUUAAGUGAUAUAAUGUGUGAUAACCACCAUAAUGCAGGUAAUAAAAUAGAAAACCAUGUGAUGAGUUCAUCAUAAGUGACCUGUCCAUAAAACAUGACCAAUACUUGCAUAUAGUCGAGUCAUGCACACAAAGACAAAACACCAUCAUGGUAUCAUGGACAUUAAAAUAAUGCAAUAAACAUUAAAUAAAAUGUGACUAAUAACAAAAGGACAAAACUAAUUAAACAGAAUAUAAUCAUAUGCAGAUUUGGAGUUACUCGAGUUACGUAAUCAGAUUACUUUUCCCAAGUAACUAGUAAAGUAACACUUUACUUUUAUAUUUAUAACAAAAUAUCUAUUACUUUUCCAAAUACGUAACACAAGUUACUUUGUUUUCCCAUUUAUUAACUGACACCUCUCCUGUCCCCAUGUUGAAAGAAAUCAGGAGAAAGUGCAGAGGCGUUGUGUGCGCUAUUUAAAAAUGAUGGUUAUUCUAGGCUAGUUCUAGACCAAAUGUGAGCAUACAUUUACUCAUUUACUUCUCCUGCGUCCCAUUCUUCUGCGAUCCAGAAUAGCAGCACUGCUGAAAGGCUUGUUUGUUUGAGCUGAGCCCUCUACUGUACAGGCGUGAAUUUGCAUUUCCUUCAGC